AAUUAAGUAAGCUAUAUUUAAGCUAUUAGGUUCAUACCCUAAAUAAAGAUUAAAUUAAAUCUCUUAAUUA
Molecule: transfer RNA, 70 nt
Filed under: Cryptopone sauteri
Lineage: Eukaryota; Metazoa; Arthropoda; Insecta; Hymenoptera; Formicidae
Description: tRNA-Met
Source: RNAcentral